This is a long non-coding RNA of Oreochromis niloticus (Nile tilapia), 4592 nucleotides long. RefSeq lists it as uncharacterized. The record is from RefSeq and is a predicted model, not a curated record. The transcript has 2 exons. Lineage: Eukaryota; Metazoa; Chordata; Actinopteri; Cichliformes; Cichlidae.
CCUGUAGAGAGAGCAGCAGCAGCAGCAGCAGCAGCAUGCAUGCAUUGUCCCAGGAUCUAUUACAGUAUAUGGGUGCCCCCUAGCGUAUGAAUUUUUUUUGCUUCAAAUAAGAUUCAAUUUAGAGGAGCCGUCGGACACGGAAACCGAUUCAGUCUGCUCUCUCGCAUCGACCAAACUAACGAGCACCAUUUUAAACUGAUGACUGUUUGUUUAAAUUCUGUUUUACAUGACUUGGACGGCAAACCUUUGAGAGUUGCCAAAGUUGGAUUUACUUUUUGCCACUUCAGGCAGUCCCAGCGGUGAUCCCGUGAACAUGGAAAGUCUGUAAAUAAAAUACUCCGCAAGGUACUGGCUUAUCGAGGACCCAGUUUUGCUUCAAAUGGUAAGUAUGCGAUUUGUAUGCUUUGUUAUGAUAAAUCAGCAAUGUUGCAAUGCUUUAUCCUUCUGCUCACAAUUAAAUCUCAUAUUAAAUAAGCUCAUCUCUUGAAAUAAAAGACGUGUGCUGCAGACGGAGCAUAACGUAGACUACAUAUAUACGAUGCUUCUACAAUGCGCAUUGACUACGGACGACUCCGUCAGUCAUCUCUGCCUAUUAUCGCAGCGUUAAUUUAUAUGACGAAUCGCAUCAAGCCCAACUAGUUUGCAAACACCCAUUCAUAAAGUUACCCGAUAGUGAUAGUGAGGCAGGAGGCUGUAUUCUUAUAGUAACAAACCUACCAAAUGCAUAUGUUGCUGAUUCGUCCGUAGCGGGAUGCAUCUUCUCUCUUAUUCAGAAUAUAUUUAGUCUUCUCUUUUUCGACACAGUGCUCAGACUGAAGCUGGCAAAGCUUCCUCUCCAACAGACGGGAUCAGACACAAAAAGCACGCUGUUUAUUGGAAAAUUGCAAUGUCUGAUCAUGCAAAAACUUUGGAGAGCCAAAACAAACAACUGAUUCACGUCAUGUGUUGUUAGGCGAGAGACUGGAAAUAUAAGUUGACGUGUCGUCCGAGCAGAAUAUCAUUUGAUUGCCUCUGGAAAUGAUAAGUAAGCUUUACAGCAGGCAGAGAGAGAGAGAGAUCCUGUGCGCCUUUUUCUCUCCUACAGUAAUAUGGCCAAAACGCGCUCGUACGCCGCUGCUUUGUGUGGGCUAUUGAGGAGAGAGGGAGGGGGUGAAGUCAGAACAGACACCUGUCUUUAAGUAUGGCGAGCAAGCUUUAUGAGAUUUUGCAUAUUAGGAAAUAUAUGGAGAGAGCAAGCCAACACGCAAUAUGAGCCAAGCUCUUAUUAAAUACGUAAAAAUUAAUUUACCAUAAAUAAUUUAAUAAAUGCUCUAACUUUAUCCUACAAAAUGUUAAUACAUGAAUUAUUAUUGUUAUUGUUAUUGUUAUUAUUAUUAUUAAGAAAUAUGGUUUGCGUCAGUAAUGACAUAAGAGGAUAAUUAACCUUUUAGCAGAUACUCCUGUAGCAUGUAUGCAUUAGGCAGAUAGUAGGAAGGCCUAUAUAUAAAUUAUGACUGCCCAAUGAACCACGCGUAAAUAUGCAUAGAAAUUUGCGCACUAUUUUCUUAAAGCAUAAACGUUCCCACAGCAGCACAACUGCUUAACUAUUAGACCCCCCACUUCAAAACUCUUGUCCUGCAGUUUUUCUUAAUUCGCGGAUUUAAAAGUUUCCUGUGUGAUUUGUACUGGUUCUCCUUUUCAAGCAGAGGAUAAAAGCAGUAUAUGCUCAGCAAGCCGGCUUGCACAUAACAAUUGCGCUGCCCAACGGGAUCAGUAUCGAUUAAGAGGAGACAGAGGAUGUCGCCUGCACUAAAUAUUUACUGAUCACAGACAAAUAGCUGGAUCUUUAACGAUUUCCCAUGCUCUGGCAGGGAGAAAGGACUAAAUCACUUUAUUAUUGUUAGUAAAACAAAGCACAGUCUCUGGAACACGGGACUGGAGAUGUGCCGAUUGGAAUGAUUGCAGUUAAAUUAAUCGAUAGCGAGAUAGACAAUUCUUGAGAUUUACGGGCGUGCGAAGGAAAAGCUUUCCCUCCAGUAUCAGGUUAAACUGGGAAGUGCGCUCCGACGUGAUUAUAUUCAGCAAAACGCUAUAGACAUAUACUAAAAACCCAAUUCAGUUAAAAAAAUAAUGUAAUUCCUACAAAUAUGCUUUUAAAACGCACCAAGAUCUAAAAAAGAAAAUUGAACUGCUGACGGCCAAAGAGCUCUCUCACACUUGUGCUAAAAGUCAAAAAUGAAAAAAAAAAGAGUUGACUUUAAUCUUCCUCCACCAAGUCCUUCAUGCAGAUAGAGGGAUACUGACCCGGAGGUCUCCAAGUUCCCGGCCUGAUUAACCCUUCCAGACCCGAGCAGGAGCAAAGGUUAACCAGGCUAAUCAACUUCAAGAGUCUGAUUGAAUUAGAUGACUGUGUGGAAUCAAGACAGAAACUAAACUGUGCCACUUAAAAACACCCCGAAGAGAGAUAUUGGUCAUGUUUUUGCCCACUGACGCAAUUUAAAUCAAAAUAUCAUAAAUGAAGAAAGAAUUUCAGAUAACUUAUAAGCUGAUUAUUUUCUAGUUAAAAAGGCAGCAGGUCAAAAAAGAUUACAAGCAAAGCACACACAUUAGUAUAAAAAACAAAACAAAGAGCAGAAUAAAUAAAUAAAUAAAUAAAUAAAAAAAAAAAAUCAAAAGACUUAACACCCCUAAAUUGUUUCUCCUUCAUUUGAUUAUGGUGGAUGUGUCCCAUAUUUCAUGGGACUUUCAUCUGUUGCAUUGAAUAUCAAUCAGCACCUUUUACCUCUGGUAAAGGUUGACUCUUUGUAAUGGUACGUCUUUGUGAUAUUAUGGGUAGGGAAAAAAGAAACAAACCAAAUAUUAAUUUUUUAAAUUUUAUUUAAUUUUUUUUUUUACCCACAUUAUUACAGGACCAAAGAACAAAAAGGAAGCAUAAGAAAAGUAGCAUGAUGUAGGGAUAUUUUAAUGUUUACAUUUUUAUGAUAAAUAAACAAACUUAACUUAAUUACAUGAUUAAUAUAGAAUUCUUUUUUUUUUUUCCUAUGGCUUUUAUCCUGACCAGUCGUACACUGUAGUUUAUUUUGAUAUGAAUAUUUUAAUGGUUAUAUUGCUCUAAACAGGGAUUUUGUAAGGUUUAAAGACUACUGUGCUUGUUUUUCUGAUGUAAAUGUAAUUUUAAUUUAGUCACAAAAAACUGCAUUCUACUACCUCCAGUAACAGCCCUUUAUUAUAAAUGUGGUAUGUGUGCAAGCAAGUUGACGGCAUACGCGUGCAGGCAGUAUAAAAGCAUUUAGUUAUGUGGAGUGUGAGGAAAAAGGUGUGUUUUAAAGUGUGUUCGUAUAAGCAGACAUGCAUGUUUCAAUUGAAAACCUUACAUAGAGUUCAUUCAGCGGCGUGGAUCACUUUCUCUCUGUCUGCUUGCCCCAAGGGCCACUAUCUAAAAAGGCAAUAGAUCCCAGAUAGCUCACUGUGUUCAAUUUGCCAAUGACAGAUUAUAGUGCCAGUUUAAACAGAUAGGGAUCAAUUUGUCUCAAUGAAUUCUUUAGGCUGACUGCCAGCAUGCUCUUAAUGUAUUUGUAAAUGCUUUUGGUUUGAAUCAUUGCUGUUAGGUUUAAAGUGAUCAAAACUGUAGCGAGAGAAAGAUGAGUGUUGUAAGCGAUGUGUUGUUUUGGCUGCUAAAGACUGCAUAGAUGGAGCAUGCAUGAUGAUUACUUCAGGCAGCAGCAUUGUAGCAGCAAUGACCAGAGGGUCAAUGGUUUAACUCCAAGGACUCGCUGGGAAAGUCUGGGUAGGGGAAUUGUGUGAUAAGUGCUCUCUAACCUCCAGAAACUGCUGCUGAAGUGCCCAUCGGCCAAGCAGAUUAAAUCCCAUCUGUCCCAGUGGAGCUGUACGGUGACCAUCAGUACAACAGUGCAGUUGUACCAGGCACUUGUGAUAUGUGUCUCUUUGAGCCCCUCACUUUUCUUUUUUGAAAGAGAAGAGAGGGCAGUCCGCUUGCUUCACACUUUUUUUUUUCAUGCACUCAGAGAGAAAAAGUUUGGGAGAAGACAGAAGAGAGAAAGCCGUAGCAGCAUUCAGUCUCGAGCCAGACGUGGCUCACAUGUGGCCCCAAAGGCAGCAGACAGUGUAUUGAAUUACUGUAACUCAAGGUGUAAUGUGGUAGCAGUGGGGGAUAUGUAAAAACUACACAAACGGAUGUAGUGGAGGCUUACUUCAGCUUCAGCUUACCGUUACAGCUAUUCAGUGUUAAAGUGUGUUGUUUCUGUUCUUGAAGGUCAUUUACAGUCAUUUAUAGCUAUAACAGCAGCUUACAUUCUCAAAUGAUAUUUGAUUAACCACUUAUUUCAAACUGCUUCUGUUUUAAAAGCCUUGUAUCUCCAGUUUAGUGAUUUUCGUAUAUGUUCCUUCCUUACUUAAUAACUUUAAUGUUUGUAGCAUGAGCUCUCGCAUUUGUGAGAUCUAUACACAGUUUUUAUGUGAUGGUCUACCACGUAAAGUUAUGAGAUAACCAGUUAAGCAUUAAUGUUUUAUAUGUUAGUCAAGAAGCUAAUUAAAUAGUAUUCUGUAUAAUAACAAUUUGCCACAUUUGCCACUAAUAAAGUUUUAAGAUAUGA